GGACAGAUUGAAGGUAAAAGAAGGAGACUGCAAUGAAUGAUAUGAUGGAUAGAUAGUGUCAUGGAAACAACAAAUGUGAAUGUGGACAGACUUGGAGAGAGAGUGGAGGACAGAAGAUCCUGCUGUGCUGUGGUCACAGAGGGUUGGGCAAGAUUGAAUGACUGAAAAACAACAUGGUCUCUCAGGGACACCUAAAGGCUGGGAAACAGAGGCUCCACUCACAUGAGGGCAGGACCAAGAUAAAAUAUUUGACCUCAGCAAAUUCCUGUCCUUCUUCUUCAGAGACCUACUUAUUCUUUUAG
This 302-nucleotide long non-coding RNA is filed under the name Monodelphis domestica (gray short-tailed opossum). RNAcentral's name for it is "lncRNA (ENSMODG00000034222.2)". Lineage: Eukaryota; Metazoa; Chordata; Mammalia; Didelphimorphia; Didelphidae. The record is from RNAcentral.